UGGCGGACGGGUGAGUAACGCGUGGGCAACCUGCCCCAUACAGGGGGAUAACAGUUAGAAAUGACUGCUAACACCGCAUAAGCGCACAGGGCCGCAUGGCCCGGUGUGAAAAACUCCGGUGGUAUGGGAUGGGCCCGCGUCUGAUUAGCCAGUUGGCGGGGUAACGGCCCACCAAAGCGACGAUCAGUAGCCAACCUGAGAGGGUGACCGGCCACAUUGGGACUGAGACACGGCCCAAACUCCUACGGGAGGCAGCAG
RNAcentral lists this ribosomal RNA (258 nucleotides) under uncultured bacterium. Its description in RNAcentral is "partial 16S ribosomal RNA". It matches the Rfam family "Bacterial small subunit ribosomal RNA", at positions 96 to 354 of the family's 1533-position model. The record is from RNAcentral.